RNAcentral lists this ribosomal RNA (260 nucleotides) under uncultured bacterium. Its description in RNAcentral is "partial 16S ribosomal RNA". It matches the Rfam family "Bacterial small subunit ribosomal RNA", at positions 30 to 303 of the family's 1533-position model. The record is from RNAcentral.
AUUGAACGCUGGCGGCAUGGCUAAAACAUGCAAGUCGAGCGCGAAAGUGGAGCAAUCCAUGAGUAGAGCGGCGAAAGGGUGAGUAAUGCGUUCCUACGUACCUCAAGGUCAGGAAUAGCCAGGGGAACUACUGGGUAAUACCUGAUGUGAUCGAGAGAUCAAAGGCUUGCCGCCUUGAGAGCGGGACGGUCCUAUCAGGUAGUUGGUGAGGUAACGGCUCACCAACGCCAUUGACGGGUAGGCGGGUGGUGAGAGCAUGG